Molecule: long non-coding RNA, 1468 nt
Organism: Pipra filicauda (Wire-tailed manakin)
Lineage: Eukaryota; Metazoa; Chordata; Aves; Passeriformes; Pipridae
Exons: 5
Source: RefSeq, a predicted model, not a curated record
UAUGAACCAAAUGGAUUGUGUUCACUGAAUGGACUAAGCUCCUGGAAGAAAAAAACCCCAAACCUGUAUAACCCUCCUUGUUUGAAGAAGGAAGAUGUGUAGAGAAGGAGAAAGGAGCUCAGAGAAAGAAAACAUGGGUUCAAUGACAAAGACAGCUGGAUGCUGCCCUGAGGAAAAGAGUCCUGUUGAAAUAGGAGCCAAGCCUAAAAGAGUUAACUGAGAUAUCUUGGCCUGAUAAGAAACCUCAAUACCUGUUUUGCUAGAAGAACAUUUUAAGAGCACUGGUUAAUAUCAUGUUCUGUUCUGCUCACUGGACCAAAGGCCUUAUUAUAGAAAGAAUAGGAGUAGUACACACACAGUAAUAAAUUAGGUAAACUAGACGUUUCAAUAAGAUCUAGAAGGCCCAGAGCCAGGAUUUUGCAAGCUUGAAGAAUUCAGGUCACCUAAUUGAAGAGGUCAAAUUGAGGAAGACAUCCAUGGCAACCACCAGAGGGAUGAAGGCUUGAGGAGAAGACCCCCACAGUAGAAGACUGUGCAUGUCUGGAAAGACUCUGCCCUGAGACCGGCCUGCUUAUUAAUAUGUAUAAUAAAUGAUGUAACCAUGUAUCUAAAGGGUAUAAAAUGGCUUAGUUUUGCACUUGCAAGUGGACCAAGUUUUUGCUUGCUCCCAGCGCUGUCAAUAAAUACCUUUGCUGCUCAAAGAUCAAAAGCCUCUGGGCAGUUUAUUAUACCAAAUUUUUCGGAUUCACUGUCCCUACCUUCAUCUCACCACCUACCUGUGAUUUGGGCAAGCUCCUUAAUGCAGAUUUUUCACAAGCAACAAUCAUUUUCUGAGUUCCCUCCUACAAGAAAAGCUAUAAGCAACGAGGCAACGUAUGGGAACCACAGUCUGAUAACUUUGGCCACUACCAGCAUUCAGUGUUGGACACUGGAGAACAGGUUUACCUUUGGAAUCCCCAGGCUGAGAACAGGACCCAGUGCAAUCCCAGAUGUAGGCUGGCAGCAGUAACCAUCUGCAGGUGCCUAGAUUUCCACACCCCUGCAAAACCUCUCCUUAGUUCUGAAGGGCAGUCCUUCCUUCAGGUUCAUUCUGAGCGUGGGAUCAGAGCACCUUUCUUGGGAACAGCACUGGCCCAGCAAGAGCAGAGGAACCUUCGGUGUGCAGGAACCCUUGAGGUGGGCACAAGCAGCUAAGGUUCAGUGUUUGGCACAGAAGCAGUGAGAAGGUGACAGAGUGGAUAUAAAGAGCUGAUAAGGACCUGCAACUUUGGCUCCCUUCUUUCCCAGUGUGGCAUCCAGAGGAGCCAGCUCUGGGGAAACAGCCUGCUGCCUCUGAGAAGUCACAUCCCAGUAAUCCCCUCAGCAUUUACCAUUACUCCUCGAUUUUCAGCAAAGAGCCUCUUUGUAGCCUCUACAUUGAGAAGAUUGCCUGGAUUUUUCGCUGGAACCAUUUAUGCCUGUUUUUUCU